Myodes glareolus (Bank vole) is the source of this 579-nucleotide non-coding RNA. The record is from RefSeq and is a predicted model, not a curated record. NCBI's taxonomy places the organism in Eukaryota, Metazoa, Chordata, Mammalia, Rodentia, Cricetidae.
GGGGAUCAGCCCUCAGGCUGUGGUGCUAGCAUGGUGAGCACUAGAGCCGCCCCCCACCUCUGUCUGCUACACCGCAAUUCACACGGCCUUUUCACCCAAAGAUGAUGAAGCUCACAGUCCGCCAAUAGCUGGCUCUGCAGUAGACGGGAGAACUGCAUUGAUCUGAUUUGGGUCUAUCUUGCUGCAACGGGUGCCAUUUCCAAUGCUGCUGACCAGUAGGUAACCACCAAGAAGAGAAGGGAAAGGCGAAGAACAGAGCCCAAGGCCACACUUGUAAGCACCUACAGCUCUCAAUGCCUGUCAGUCAAGGGAGGCAGCAGAUGGGGACCUUGGUCACCAACAGCAAAGCCCAGCAGAGCCUCACGAGGCGUGGACCACUAACCGCCAGACACAGAGGGCCGUGACAACUCUGAGGUCCUGCGUAGACAAGUAACAGACUCCAGAGUUCAUCCUGUUGUCUCUUGAGUACACAGCUUUAUGGCAUUCUUCUGGAUUUGAAGAAAUUCUACUACCUUCCACAUCACAACCACUAAGUUAACACAUUGCUAUGGUCAUUCUUAACUUGAUAGGACUUAGAAU